This 98-nucleotide ribosomal RNA is filed under the name Pseudomonas syringae pv. actinidifoliorum. Lineage: Bacteria; Pseudomonadati; Pseudomonadota; Gammaproteobacteria; Pseudomonadales; Pseudomonadaceae. The record is from RNAcentral.
UUGGAAACACCUGAUCCCAUCCCGAACUCAGCAGUGAAUCGAUGUAUCGCCGAUGGUAGUGUGGGGUUUCGCCAUGUGAGAGUAGGUCAUCGUCAAGA